UACGUAGGGUGCGAGCGUUAAUCAGAAUUACUGGGCGUAAAGCGUGCGCAGGCGGUUCGUUAAGUCAGAUGUGAAAGCCCCGGGCUCAACCUGGGAACUGCAUUUGAAACUGGCGGGCUUGAGUAUGGCAGAGGGGGGUGGAAUUCCCGGUGUAGCGGUGAAAUGCGUAGAGAUCGGGAGGAACACCAGUGGCGAAGGCGGCUACCUGGACCAGCACUGACACUGAGGCACGAAAGCGUGGGGAGCAAACAGG
Molecule: ribosomal RNA, 253 nt
Filed under: uncultured bacterium
Lineage: Bacteria
Description: partial 16S ribosomal RNA
Rfam family: Bacterial small subunit ribosomal RNA
Source: RNAcentral